This 82-nucleotide transfer RNA is filed under the name Navicula sp. Its description in RNAcentral is "tRNA-Tyr". It matches the Rfam family "tRNA". Rfam says of the family: Transfer RNA (tRNA) molecules are approximately 80 nucleotides in length. Their secondary structure includes four short double-helical elements and three loops (D, anti-codon, and T loops). Further hydrogen bonds mediate the characteristic L-shaped molecular structure. tRNAs have two regions of fundamental functional importance: the anti-codon, which is responsible for specific mRNA codon recognition, and the 3' end, to which the tRNAs corresponding amino acid is attached (by aminoacyl-tRNA synthetases). tRNAs cope with the degeneracy of the genetic code in two manners: having more than one tRNA (with a specific anti-codon) for a particular amino acid; and 'wobble' base-pairing, i.e. permitting non-standard base-pairing at the 3rd anti-codon position. The record is from RNAcentral. Lineage: Eukaryota; Bacillariophyta; Bacillariophyceae; Naviculales; Naviculaceae.
GGAGAGAUGGCUGAGCGGUUAAAAGCGUUAGAUUGUAAAUCUAUUGGGAUUCCCAUCGUAAGUUCAAAUCUUACUCUCUUCA